GGGAUUAAACACCCUGGAUAUUAUAUUUAUUUGGUACUGUAUCAGAUGAAAAGUGUGAAAUACAAAUAGAGAUACUUGGCACUAUUCCUUUUUAGUAUCAGGCCCAGGGUCUGUAUUAGCAGCAGCAGGGUUGGGGGGAUUAUAGGAGGAUGGGGUUGUAGAAACUCCGUUAUUGGCAGUUGAGGGCGAAGCUUUAGCUGCAGCCCCAUU
Molecule: long non-coding RNA, 210 nt
Filed under: Gossypium raimondii (Peruvian cotton)
Lineage: Eukaryota; Viridiplantae; Streptophyta; Magnoliopsida; Malvales; Malvaceae
Description: long non-coding RNA (GRAI_LNC010200)
Source: RNAcentral